Molecule: long non-coding RNA, 563 nt
Organism: Bicyclus anynana (squinting bush brown)
Lineage: Eukaryota; Metazoa; Arthropoda; Insecta; Lepidoptera; Nymphalidae
Exons: 3
Source: RefSeq, a predicted model, not a curated record
UCUGUGGUGGAGUCGUCCAAAAAAUUGUGACAGGGAGAGUGGCUCGCAAAAAUUUUCAUUAAUUUAUAUUUUAAUAAUUAAUGUAACGUGAAACGUCUGAAUAAUUCUAAUGAACUAUUUAUAAGAAUAAUUUGGUGCAUAACAUGGUCUAUUCAUUAUAAAUGCACUUACGCGAAUCGAAGCUGUCCGGGAGUAUUGACGUUUCGUAGUCUACAGGGACAGGCUUUCAAAUGUCUGUUUGUGUCGGGCUGUAUUAAGUGGGUGUGCGGCGUUACGGACGUACAGUUUAUUUAGACCAUUAAUUAAAUAAGUAUUAGUGAAAAGUGCAUUAGUGUUGUUAUUAAUUAAAUAUGUGGUUAAUAUUAGCACUGAUGUGGCAAACCGGAUCGCACCUAGAUGGUGAAAACGUGACUCCGUUAUAAGAUGGGAAAGCGCGCGCGGCGAGCGGGCGUCCGCGCGGCGUCGUAUAACGCGCGGUGCGCGACGCUUGCACCAUACACCGGGUCCACACUUGCAGCGUAGAUUGGAUUGAAGCGGCCGUACCCGGCUAGUAUGGAGGAGUG